GAUCAAAACCUUUGAUGCAAAUCCACGGAGCGAUCACGAACGUUGAACGAUGACAACGUCUCUACUCAGUCCACACGAACGGAUUCCUUCAAUCUCAGUGCUAGCUGGUACGAAUGAAAGCUUUGAGUGAGAGAGAGAGAGAGCGAGAAAACGAAAAUAAUGCAACCGCCAAAAAAAUGCUUCUGCACAAGGGUUCUAUUUAUAGAACCACUUGUGUGGGCUUCAAGCUAAAAAGCCCACUUAAGUGUAUUUUG
This 254-nucleotide long non-coding RNA is filed under the name Lathyrus oleraceus (garden pea). RNAcentral describes it as "Pisum sativum (pea) long non-coding RNA (PSAT_LNC033528)". The record is from RNAcentral. Lineage: Eukaryota; Viridiplantae; Streptophyta; Magnoliopsida; Fabales; Fabaceae.